Molecule: long non-coding RNA, 1211 nt
Filed under: Elaeis guineensis (African oil palm)
Lineage: Eukaryota; Viridiplantae; Streptophyta; Magnoliopsida; Arecales; Arecaceae
Description: long non-coding RNA (EGUI_LNC050095)
Source: RNAcentral
UUUCAACUUCAUAAAUCCUAUGACUGAUCAUAAGGAUUAUCCUGGACAAGAUUUUACUGAAUUGAAACACAAUAUAGCAUUACUCCUUAAACCAAGAGCAGGUCAAUCCCAUUUUGACUCACACACAGACUUCGCAAGACUUCGCAAGUACUUGAUUACAUCCAAAAAUUUUUCAUCACUGUAUUAGAAAUAUAGAUAGUCUGGCAUCAAAGUAUAGUGAGUUGCUUGUAAGACGCUAUGGUGAUCUCAGAUCGGAGGGAUAUUUAUACCUAUAUCCUUCGUGAGCAGCUCUUGACAGCAGAGCUUCCUGCAUUUGAGUCACUAUUCAGUGAAAUAUACUCCUAUAUUUUACUUGCAUCCCAUACCAGUGUCUCCACACUCCUUGGUUACGAGGACAACCAAUCCAUAUGGCAUACAACGAUCUGUACUUGAUAAAUAUUAUCAUUCUAGUAAUAACAUAUCAUUUGAUCCAAGUAAAAUUUAAAAACUAUUUGAUAAAUUCUUCUUUAUUGAUAAUUUAUGGCUCUAAGGACGUCAACAUAAAAAGAGUUCUAAAAAGAAGAUGCAAAAUUAUAAUGAGCUUACCAAAAAAUAAUUUUAUUAAUAUAAUUCAAUCAUAAUUCAUAUACAAGAGUACAACCAUUUACAACUUAAACUAUUGGCUUAGACGGUCAGGUCAUAUGUUAGAUUGGCUCGACUUGAGUUCAUUUGUGCAUUCCGUAGAAACUCUUUUUCAGUAUUUAUAUUUUCUCUGACUAGAGAUUUUCUAAAUUCAGUCUUGUGAAUCACAUAAGACUAUACCUUUUCUACUAAGAUUGAUAGAUUUUAUCUUGGUGCACCUACUUAAACAGUGAACCUAAGCCUACUAUAGCCAAUAUAUAUAGUAAGAACCCAAAUGGCUAGGGACUAAGAGAACAUGUAGUCAAACUAAGUGUCUCAUUGUGAAUAGCCAACACACCAUAGGUUAAAGGACCAGUCACACCAUUACUAUAUUGAGAAAAUCACUGACGAGUGAGUAGACAUCCAAGUGAUUUCUCAUAUUGGUUAUGAUCAGUACAAGUUGUUCUCUAACAACCAUCUGUACUCUCAUCCCAAUAUUCUCAUACUGCAGACUUGAGACCCAUCUAUCCAGAAAGGAGGUGAUCCAUGCAUAGAUCUAAAUGGAUUGAUCAUGAUCCUCCAUGAUGAUCCUUCGAUCGGGAGCAUUCAGA